This 268-nucleotide ribosomal RNA is filed under the name uncultured bacterium. RNAcentral's name for it is "partial 16S ribosomal RNA". The record is from RNAcentral.
CUGCUGCCUCCCGUAGGAGUCUGGUCCGUGUCUCAGUACCAGUGUGGGGGACCUUCCUCUCAGAACCCCUACGCAUCGUCGCCACGGUGGGCCGUCACCCCGCCGUCUAGCUAAUGCGCCGCAUGCCCAUCCGCCACCGGAUCGCUCCUUUGGCCACCGGAGGAUGCCCUCCGGUGGCGUCACGGGGUAUUAGGCCGCGUUUCCGCGGGUUAUCCCCCUGUGGCGGCCAGGUUGCAUACGUGUUACUCACCCGUGCGUCGGUCGCCGG